RNAcentral lists this ribosomal RNA (395 nucleotides) under uncultured Lactobacillus sp. RNAcentral's name for it is "bacterial SSU rRNA". It matches the Rfam family "Bacterial small subunit ribosomal RNA", at positions 68 to 446 of the family's 1533-position model. The record is from RNAcentral. Lineage: Bacteria; Bacillati; Bacillota; Bacilli; Lactobacillales; Lactobacillaceae.
AACAGAUUUACUUCGGUAAUGACGUUAGGAAAGCGAGCGGCGGAUGGGUGAGUAACACGUGGGGAACCUGCCCCAUAGUCUGGGAUACCACUUGGAAACAGGUGCUAAUACCGGAUAAGAAAGCAGAUCGCAUGAUCAGCUUUUAAAAGGCGGCGUAAGCUGUCGCUAUGGGAUGGCCCCGCGGUGCAUUAGCUAGUUGGUAAGGUAAAGGCUUACCAAGGCGAUGAUGCAUAGCCGAGUUGAGAGACUGAUCGGCCACAUUGGGACUGAGACACGGCCCAAACUCCUACGGGAGGCAGCAGUAGGGAAUCUUCCACAAUGGACGCAAGUCUGAUGGAGCAACGCCGCGUGAGUGAAGAAGGUUUUCGGGAUCGUAAAGCUCUGUUGUUGGUGAA